AACAUCGCGCACCUGCGGGAACCUGCGGAGGGAUCAUUACAGAGUUGCAAAACUCCCUAAACCAUUGUGAACGUUACCUAAACCGUUGCUUCGGCGGGCGGCCCGGGCCCUUCCCGGCGCCCAUCGGCCCUCGCGGGCGCCCGCCGGAGGUAAACCAAACUAUUGCAUUGUAUGGCCUCUCUGAGUCUUCUGUACUGAAUAAGUCAAAACUUUCAACAACGGAUCUCAGAUCGGAAGAGC
This 240-nucleotide unclassified non-coding RNA is filed under the name soil metagenome. RNAcentral's name for it is "partial contains 5.8S ribosomal RNA, internal transcribed spacer 2, and large subunit ribosomal RNA". The record is from RNAcentral.